Molecule: ribosomal RNA, 590 nt
Filed under: uncultured bacterium
Lineage: Bacteria
Description: bacterial SSU rRNA
Rfam family: Bacterial small subunit ribosomal RNA
Source: RNAcentral
AGAGUUUGAUCCUGGCUCAGAAUCAACGCUGGCGGCGUGCCUCAGACAUGCAAGUCGAACGCGAAAGUCCCCUUCGGGGGACGAGUAGAGUGGCGUCCGGGUGAGUAACACGUGAGUAAUUUGCCUUCGGGUGGGGAAUAACAGCCGGAAACGGCUGCUAAUACCGCAUGAUGCAGCGGCACCUCAUGGUGACAGUUGUUAAAGCGGGGGACCAGCAAUGGCCUCGCGCCUGAAAAGAAGCUCGCGGCAUAUUAGCUAGUUGGCAGGGUAACGGCCUACCAAGGCAACGAUCUGUAGCCGGCCUGAGAGGGCGGUCGGCCACACUGACACUGACACACGGGUCAGACUCCUACGGGAGGCAGCAGUCGGGAAUUUUGGGCAAUGGGCGAAAGCCUGACCCAGCAACGCCGCGUGAAGGAUGAAUUUUUUCGGAAUGUAAACUUCACAAGAAUGGGAAGAAUAAGUCAGGGUUAACACCCCUGAUGAUGACGGUACCAUUUGUAAGCUCCGGCUAACUCCGUGCCAGCAGCCGCGGUAAUACGGGGGGAGCAAGCGUUGUUCGUAUUUACUGGGCGUAAAGGGCGCGUAGG